This 26-nucleotide non-coding RNA is filed under the name Homo sapiens (human). The record is from RNAcentral. Lineage: Eukaryota; Metazoa; Chordata; Mammalia; Primates; Hominidae.
UGAAGACAUGGUACCAGAUGCGCUGC